RNAcentral lists this ribosomal RNA (776 nucleotides) under uncultured Neocallimastigales. Its description in RNAcentral is "partial large subunit ribosomal RNA". It matches the Rfam family "Eukaryotic large subunit ribosomal RNA", at positions 22 to 643 of the family's 3401-position model. Lineage: Eukaryota; Fungi; Neocallimastigomycota; Neocallimastigomycetes; Neocallimastigales. The record is from RNAcentral.
UAGAUGCGAGAGUAGAGCAUAUCAAUAAGCGGAGGAAAAGAAACUAACAAGGAUUCCCUUAGUAACGGCGAGUGAAGCGGGAAGAGCUCAAAUUUGAAAUCUUCAAGGUUCUACCUUGACGAAUUGUAGUUUAUAGAAGUGUUUUCUGUUAGUGGAGUGGCAAAAGUUCUUUGGAAUAGGACAUCAUAGAGGGUGAGAAUCCCGUAUUUGGUCAUUCCUCCUAGCGUUGUGAUACACUUUCAACGAGUCGGAUUGUUUGGGAAUGCUGUCCAAAAUGGGUGGUAAAUUUCAUCUAAAGCUAAAUAUUGGCGAGAGACCGAUAGCGAACAAGUACCGUGAGGGAAAGAUGAAAAGAACUUUGAAAAGAGAGUUAAACAGUACGUGAAAUUGUCAAAAGGGAAGCGUUUGACACCAGUGUUGUUUUUCCGAAAAUCAAUUACGAAUGUUUUGUUUUUGAGGAGUUAUGACUUCAUCGGCUUGCUCCUUUCUUUACUGAAACUUUCUUAAUGCACUUUUCGGUUAACAAGUCAACAUCAAUUUCUUUUGUUGUAAAAGGGUAUGAGGAAGGUGGCUUUCUUUUCGGAGAAAGUGUUUAUAGCCUUGUGCCUCUGCAAUCGGAGAGAUUGAGGUCUGCAGCGUAGAUCCUUCGGGGUUAGAUACAUUUGUGCUAAGUUAUCAGCUUUUCAUAGACAACUUGUUGACUAUGUUUAGUCUUGUAGCUUACUCGCUUAUGCUAUUUUACCUACGCUUAGGAUGUUGACACACGCGCGUGCUCG